This 253-nucleotide ribosomal RNA is filed under the name uncultured bacterium. RNAcentral describes it as "partial 16S ribosomal RNA". It matches the Rfam family "Bacterial small subunit ribosomal RNA", at positions 524 to 776 of the family's 1533-position model. The record is from RNAcentral.
UACGUAGGGGGCAAGCGUUGUCCGGAUUUAUUGGGCGUAAAGAGCGUGUAGGCGGCCGUGUAGGUCCGUUGUGAAAACUCGAGGCUCAACCUCGAGACGUCGAUGGAAACCACACGGCUAGAGUCCGGAAGAGGAGAGUGGAAUUCCUGGUGUAGCGGUGAAAUGCGCAGAUAUCAGGAAGAACACCUAUGGCGAAGGCAGCUCUCUGGGACGGUACUGACGCUGAGACGCGAAAGCGUGGGGAGCAAACAGG